CAUGCAGGUUCUCCAUCAAGGACCUCCUGAAUCACGCCUUCUUUGCAGAGGACACAGGCGUGAGGGUCGAGCUCAACGAGGACGACGAUGGGAAGAAAGCAACGAUCGCUCUCAAGCUCUGGGUCGAGGAUCCCAAAAAGCUGAAGGGGAAAUACAAAGACACCGGCGCCAUCGAGUUUACCUUCGACCUGGUGAACGAGAUCCCAGAAGUUGUUGCUCAAGAAAUGGUGGAAUCUGGUUUUUUCCUGGAUAGUGACGUGAAGAUAGUUGGGAAGUCCAUCCGAGACCGCGUUGCUCUGAUCAAAUGGAGACGGGGGCGUACCGUUUCAUCAAAUGGAAACGGUGACGUCGCUGUGAAGAAGAUACAGCAGAACUUACUGCAGGUGCCCGGCGCCGGCGGAACACAGAUAUCCACGCUCGCCGCCACAGAUUACGAGGAUCAGGACGGCGAGCAGCAGACUCUGACCUGUACAGUGCCAGUGACGUCUGCCACAUCCGACGGUGGACUGGGCAACACGAUGCAGUUAGACGAACUGAACAAUCAGCAGAACGGCCCCUACCACUCACUUCCGGAGCCUAUUUCUACCGCGCAGAUAAUCUACAGUCCUCCUGCACAGUGCGACCCUCAGCUGCACCAGGGACCCUACCAGCCGCCCGCCGCUCAGACGACGCACGAAAACUACACACAAGCAGCUACACAGUUACAGCAGGGGGCGUACCAGCAGGCCGCGGGGCAGCUCCACCCCGGGGCCUACCAGCAGCCUGGAGCAGAGCCGCAGCAGGGGCCUUAUCAGUGUCAGACCACAGUCUCUGCUCCAGCGACACCGGGCCCUGCAGCGCACCAGAGCAGACAGGCGGCGCAGAGUUACCCGGCUGCAGCCCCGCCUCUCCAGACCCAGCUGACGGCCCAGCCCAGCCAGGAACAGUGCCAUCUCCAACCAGCUGCUUUCCUGCCCCAGCUGUUAUCUGCUGACCAGCCUGCAUCCCACCUGAGUCCUCCUGACACAUCUACCAGUUUCCCACAGUCAGUCUCCAGUGCUCCUCCCCAACUCCUGCCCCUGCAGAUCAC
This 1069-nucleotide long non-coding RNA is filed under the name Salarias fasciatus (jewelled blenny). Its description in RNAcentral is "lncRNA (ENSSFAG00005006132.1)". The record is from RNAcentral. Lineage: Eukaryota; Metazoa; Chordata; Actinopteri; Blenniiformes; Blenniidae.